AAAGGGAGACCUAAUUCGGGUAUAAGACGAAAAAAAAGUAGUCCCUACCAAGAAUCAAUCCCAAAAGGUCGGAGCGAGGCGAAAUUGGCUUUCAAACUAGGUUCUGGGUUCACACAAGACCUGAAUCAGGAACAAGGGCUAUUAGCUCAGGUGGUUAGAGCGCACCCCUGAUAAGGGUGAGGUCCCUGGUUCGAGUCCAGGAUGGCCCACCUGCACAGGUGGCAAAAACAAGAGAAGCUCCGAAUCAGCACCUUAUCUUACUGACAUAGUAAGAGAGAAUGCUGGCUCUGAGUAAAGAGUCCAGAGGAACCUUGAAAACUGCAUAGAGCUAGGUGAAAAAGCCAAAAAAGAAGACCGCAAG
This 361-nucleotide transfer RNA is filed under the name uncultured Microcystis sp. RNAcentral describes it as "partial 16S-23S ribosomal RNA intergenic spacer". The stretch from base 136 to 209 matches the Rfam family "tRNA". Lineage: Bacteria; Bacillati; Cyanobacteriota; Cyanophyceae; Chroococcales; Microcystaceae. The record is from RNAcentral.